This 301-nucleotide ribosomal RNA is filed under the name uncultured bacterium. RNAcentral's name for it is "partial 16S ribosomal RNA". It matches the Rfam family "Bacterial small subunit ribosomal RNA", at positions 509 to 807 of the family's 1533-position model. The record is from RNAcentral.
CAGUCGCCACGGGAAUACGUAGGGUGCGAGCGUUAAUCGGAAUUACUGGGCGUAAAGCGUGCGCAGGCGGUUCGUUAAGACAGAUGUGAAAUCCCCGGGCUUAACCUGGGAACUGCAUUUGUGACUGGCGAGCUAGAGUAUGGCAGAGGGGGGUAGAAUUCCACGUGUAGCAGUGAAAUGCAUAGAGAUGUGAAGGAAUACCGAUGGCGAAGGCAGCCCCCUGGGCCAAUACUGACGCUCAUGCACGAAAGCGUGGGGAGCAAACAGGAUUUGAUACCCCCGUAGUCCCUGUCUCUUAUAC